RNAcentral lists this ribosomal RNA (253 nucleotides) under uncultured bacterium. RNAcentral describes it as "partial 16S ribosomal RNA". It matches the Rfam family "Bacterial small subunit ribosomal RNA", at positions 524 to 776 of the family's 1533-position model. The record is from RNAcentral.
UACGUAGGGACCAAGCGUUGUUCGGAUUUACUGGGCGUAAAGGGUGCGUAGGCGGCGCGGUAAGUCGGGUGUGAAAUCUCGGAGCUUAACUCCGAAACUGCAUUCGAUACUGCCGUGCUUGAGGACUGGAGAGGAGACUGGAAUUUACGGUGUAGCGGUGAAAUGCGUAGAUAUGACAUAGAACACCAAUUGCGAAGGCAGCUCACUACACGAAUAUUGACACUGAGGCACGAAAGCGUGGGGAUCAAACAGG